AGAACCUGGAGUUCCACCGUGGCUCUUACAGUCUCAGCCAUGGUUGCAUACCUUCCAAGCUCCACCGCCUCUUCUUCCUCGUGGGCAGAUCCCUGAUUUUGUGUAGGACAGCACUUGAAAUGUAUUUGUGUGCUCAACAUUGGUUUCCUCUCUGGAACCUGGGAUCACUUCAGGGGUGGACACGUGGCCCAACCAUGACUGAUGAGACAUGCGGGGAAAUCUGCAGAGGCAACUUCUAGGAAAGGUUGGGCUCUUGCAGCCACCCUGUGACUAUGAGGUUUUUGUAAGCUCCAGACAUUGGAUAAAGCAUUUUGAGGGAUAGGUGAAAACGAAAUCCUGCCCUUUACUCUUGAGAACUCACUCUGCUGUGGGAGGAGAGACAGGCAGCAUUCUGACCACAAUGCCAGAAGACAAUACGGAAUUACUCAGUACAUGAAGCACCAGGAAGAUGACAACAGAAGAGAGAGGACCCAGACAUUGGAAUCAGCAGCCACCAGGUGCAAUCUCCAACAUGUGCGGGCUUUGGGAAAACACAAUCGGGCAAGUGAAGUUUGUUGCAGACAAGUUCUUCUUCCCCUCUGCCACAACCUCCUCCAAGGUUACAGGGAGAGCACCCUGUCUGUGAAGAAGCAGGUUCUCAUCUGAUACCAAAUCUGCUGGCACCUUGAUCUUGGACUUCCCAGACUCCAGGACUGAAGAUCACAGAUUGACAUCAGCAGGAAAACUUGCCAGGCAGCAGGAGGAUCCAUUUGAAAACUCACGAGAAAAAGGCCCUUGAGGCCUUUUUCCUGGUUAUUGAAGACAUCUUAGGAAACACUUAUGGUGACAAUUAAUCAAGCAAAAAUAGAUCCAGUUUUUCUGAAGAUCAAGCUUAACAUGUGUGCCAUGCUUUAAAAUGUCUUUCCAGGCACUCUCUCCUGCCCACGGAUCUUGCUUGGGAAAGGAAUGGGGCAAGUGGAAAUGGCCAUUUCUUAGAUGAACACAUCAGGGACUUGCUCCAGUCUGAAGUCUAUACAGAGCUAGGCUUUGAAUCCAGUCACGUAACUGCAUAGCAGCAAAUCAGCCUUUCAGAAUAUUGCAGGAUCAGCAAUGAAAUUCCCUUUGCCAGAGAAAUGGACAAACAAGGAAGCAACAAUGGUGAUGGUGGAAGUGUUCUUCAAGUCUAAGUUUGGGUUCUAGAAACAUCUGGCCAAAUAACGUCUUUCACAACUAAAAUAGAAUAUAAAGAAGCCAUUUGACCUGCCUCAGUUAUCAUGGUCAUCAUGACAAGCUGCAGCAGGACAAAUCAGCUUAACAAUUUCGGAAACUGCCAGAAAUGCUAUUUGGAUUAAUUUUUAUUUGGGAGUUGGCUAAAACUGGUCACAUCCCCAAAUACCUCAAGAUAAACAACAUAGCAUUAUCAUACAAAUCUAUAUUCACCAAAUUAGGUUAAAAUAGGCUGUUUUGAGAAGGUUGAAUUUUUUUAUGGGGAUUAUUCCCAAAAUACGUUUAGACACAAGAAGUUCAACUUUUCUUUUUUCCAUAUUUGAUGUCAAUCAAACUAAUUACUACAUGUUUGGAAUUGCAUUAAUUGUAUUCUUCAGUUACCUAUAAAAUUUAAUUAUCAUGUCUUUAUGGAAAUUUUAAUAUCAGAUAUAAAGAAUGGCAUAUUUAAAAUGACAUUUUAAUACUUUAUAAGAAGCAACAGAAAUUCGACUUCCAAAGCACCUCUCAGUACUACCAUUGGAGUACAUCUAUAUUUUUCUGUCAGAAUACUAUCCAAAGCAAGCAUAAGUAAUCCUUAUUUUCACGAUACAUUGAUGCUCAAAAGUUGUGUGUUCAGCAUGUCUACAAAGUAAAUUACCGUAUAUUUGAAACAGCAGACUAAAACUGAAGUAACAUCUGGAAAAAAUUGCCCUAAUUGCUAGCCCCUAAAUUCAUCUGACCUUGACACUCUCAUCUGAAUUUAAAAGUGUUUUAAAUUCUUAGCCAAUCAAUUCAAGCCAGAACUGAAUUCAUAUGUCUUCAGAAACUGCUAAUCUAGAACAAUGUAACUAGAAUAGAUUCCUGAUCAAACUUUGGUUUUGUUCAGGUAUCCACUCAUUUCCUAGGUGACCCAGAGGCCACAACUCACAACUCCACCCCUUCCCGUGGCUGGUCCAGGCUGUGCAGAUCUUGUAGUCACAAAGUCCUGGCAAUGGGCUGGGGGUGGGAUCUGACCUAGUGCUGACCAACAUGUCAAAAACAGAUGGCUGCAGAACCCUCUGGAAAAGCUUCCCUCAUUCUUAAGGAAUCCUGUGAAGAGAUGGUCUGUUUCUGUCCUGUUCCCUGGAUGUCAAAUGUCUGGGUUUGAGACCCAGAACUCCUGAAGCCAUCUCACAACUACAAGGGGAGCAGAUGUAGCCACUGAGGAUGGCCAAGCAGAGGGAGGGAGGACCUUUCCUGCCAGCAUCGCCAGCGGCUGAAUCACAGCCCAGAACCCCACAGCACCCUAAACGUCCUCUUAACAAAUGUAAUACGUUGUCUUACUGUUUGUGCCUGUGUGAAAAGUCCUCUUUGCUUGCAGUGAAGGCAUCCUAGUUGAUAAACAUGAAAUUUGAAAAUUGGAGAUUUCUUGGAACCAACA
Molecule: long non-coding RNA, 2605 nt
Filed under: Homo sapiens (human)
Lineage: Eukaryota; Metazoa; Chordata; Mammalia; Primates; Hominidae
Description: HSALNT0400110
Source: RNAcentral